CCUACGGGUGGCAGCAGUGAGGAAUAUUGGUCAAUGGUCGGGAGACUGAACCAGCCAAGCCGCGUGAGGGAUGAAGGUACAGAGUAUCGUAAACCUCUUUUGUCAGGGAACAAAGGCGGGGACGUGUCCCCGGAUGAGUGUACCUGAAGAAGAAGCCCCGGCUAACUACGUGCCAGCAGCCGCGGUAAUACGUAGGGGGCAAGCGUUAUCCGGAUUUACUGGGUGUAAAGGGGGCGCAGACGGCGAUGCAAGCCAGGAGUGAAAGCCCGGGGCCCAACCCCGGGACUGCUCUUGGAACUGCGUGGCUGGAGUGCAGGAGGGGCAGGCGGAAUUCCUGGUGUAGCGGUGAAAUGCGUAGAUAUCAGGAGGAACACCGGUGGCGAAGGCGGCCUGCUGGACUGCAACUGACGUUGAGGCCCGAAAGCGUGGGGAGCAAACAGGAUUAGAUACCCUAGUAGUC
RNAcentral lists this ribosomal RNA (460 nucleotides) under uncultured bacterium. Its description in RNAcentral is "partial 16S ribosomal RNA". It matches the Rfam family "Bacterial small subunit ribosomal RNA", at positions 338 to 795 of the family's 1533-position model. The record is from RNAcentral.